This 479-nucleotide ribosomal RNA is filed under the name uncultured bacterium. Its description in RNAcentral is "bacterial SSU rRNA". It matches the Rfam family "Bacterial small subunit ribosomal RNA", at positions 32 to 521 of the family's 1533-position model. The record is from RNAcentral.
AAUCAACGCUGGCGGCGUGCCUCAGACAUGCAAGUCGAACGAUUAAAGCUCUCUUCGGAGAGUGUAUAGAGUGGCGCACGGGUGAGUAACACGUAAGUAAUCUACCUUCGAGUGGGGAAUACCGUCCGGAAACGGACGCUAAUACCGCAUAAUGCAGCGGCAUCGUAAGAUGACAGUUGUUAAAGAUUUUAUCGCUUGAAGAGGAGCUUGCGGCAGAUUGGCUAGUUGGUAAGGUAAUGGCUUACCAAGGCUACGAUCUGUAACCGGUCUUAGAGGACGGUCGGUCACACUGACACUGAAUAACGGGUCAGACUCCUACGGGAGGCAGCAGUCGGGAAUUUGGGCAAUGGGCGAAAGCCUGACCCAGCAACGCCGCGUGAAGGAUGAAGUAUUUCGGUAUGUAAACUUCGAAAGAAUAGGAAGAAUAAAUGACGGUACUAUUUAUAAGGUCCGGCUAACUACGUGCCAGCCGCCGCAGU